AACUUCGGGAGAAGGUGCGCUGCUGACGGUGAAGGCCUUGCGCCGCAAGCUGUUGGCAGCCGAAGUAACCAGGCCGCUGCGACUGUUUAUUAAAAACACAGCACUCUGCAAACACGAAAGUGGACGUAUAGGGUGUGACGCCUGCCCGGUGCCGGAAGGUUAAUUGAUGGGGUCAGCCGCAAGGCGAAGCUCUUGAUCGAAGCCCCGGUAAACGGCGGCCGUAACUAUAACGGUCCUAAGGUAGCGAAAUUCCUUGUCGGGUAAGUUCCGACCUGCACGAAUGGCGUAACGAUGGCGGCGCUGUCUCCACCAGAGACUCAGUGAAAUCGAAAUCGCGGUGAAGAUGCCGUGUACCCGUGGCUAGACGGAAAGACCCCGUGAACCUUUACUGUAGCUUCACACUGGACUUUGACAUGAUCUGUGUAGGAUAGCUGGGAGGCUUUGAAGUGGUGACGCCAGUUGCCAUGGAGCCGUCCUUGAAAUACCAGCCUGGUCCUGUCGGGGUUCUAACGUCGACCUGUUAUCCAGGUUACGGACAGUGUGUGGUGGGCAGUUUGACUGGGGCGGUCUCCUCCCAAAGAGUAACGGAGGAGCACGAAGGUGCGCUAAUCACGGUCGGAAAUCGUGAGGUUAGUGUAAAGGCACAAGCGCGCUUGACUGCGAGACAGACAAGUCGAGCAGGUACGAAAGUAGGUCUUAGUGAUCCGGUGGUUCUGUAUGGAAGGGCCAUCGCUCAACGGAUAAAAGGUACUCCGGGGAUAACAGGCUGAUACCGCCCAAGAGUUCAUAUCGACGGCGGUGUUUGGCACCUCGAUGUCGGCUCAUCACAUCCUGGGGCUGAAGCCGGUCCCAAGGGUAUGGCUGUUCGCCAUUUAAAGUGGUACGCGAGCUGGGUUUAGAACGUCGUGAGACAGUUCGGUCCCUAUCUGCCAUGGGCGUUGGAGAUUUGAGAAGAGUUGCUCCUAGUACGAGAGGACCGGAGUGAACGAACCUCUGGUGUACCGGUUGUCACGCCAGUGGCAUUGCCGGGUAGCUAAGUUCGGACGGGAUAACCGCUGAAAGCAUCUAAGCGGGAAGCCUCCUUCAAGAUGAGAUCUCCCUGGAGCUUUAAGCUCCCUAAAGGGCCGUCGAAGACUACGACGUUGAUAGGCGAGGUGUGGAAGCGUUGUGAGACGUUGAGCUGACUCGUACUAAUUGCCCGUGCGGCUUGAUC
Molecule: ribosomal RNA, 1213 nt
Filed under: metagenome
Description: bacterial LSU rRNA
Rfam family: Bacterial large subunit ribosomal RNA
Source: RNAcentral